This 463-nucleotide ribosomal RNA is filed under the name uncultured bacterium. RNAcentral describes it as "bacterial SSU rRNA". It matches the Rfam family "Bacterial small subunit ribosomal RNA", at positions 29 to 506 of the family's 1533-position model. The record is from RNAcentral.
ACGAACGCUGGCGGCAUGGAUUAGGCAUGCAAGUCGAACGAAUUAACGGUAGCAAUAUCGUUAGUUAGUGGCGCAAGGGUGAGGAACAUGUGAGUAACUUGCCCCCAAGUUGGGGAUAACUCCGGGAAACUGGAGCUAAUACCGAAUGUGACUAUGUUACCGCAUGGCAGCAUAGUUAAAGAUUUAUUGCUUGGGGAUGGGCUCGCGUCCCAUUAGCUAGUUGGUGAGGUAAUGGCUCACCAAGGCAGAGAUGGGUAGCUGGUCUGAGAGGAUGGUCAGCCACACUGGGACUGAGACACUGCCCAGACUCCUACGGGAGGCUGCAGUCGAGAAUCUUCCACAAUGCGCGAAAGCGUGAUGGAGCGAUGCCGCGUGCCGGAUGAAGGCCUUCGGGUUGUAAACGGCUGUCACCAGGGACGAAUAAAUUGACGGUACCUGGAGAGGAAGCCACGGCUAACUACGU